Long non-coding RNA from Nilaparvata lugens (brown planthopper), 1183 nucleotides. RefSeq lists it as uncharacterized. The record is from RefSeq and is a predicted model, not a curated record. The transcript has 2 exons. NCBI's taxonomy places the organism in Eukaryota, Metazoa, Arthropoda, Insecta, Hemiptera, Delphacidae.
UACUCAAACCCUUGAAUAUUAAAGAUUCUUUUCAACGCAUAAUAAAGCUUAUUAAAGUAUAGGAAAUACUGUGCGAUGAGGUAAACUGAUACGCAAGCUAUUAAUCACAAAUCACAAGAAAUAAUACCAAACUAUCCACGGAAAACUUGAUCAGAGCGUGGUGAACAUGAUUUAAUAUCAUGACUUUUUUGUAAUUUAGUUUGAUGCAUGGAAAUUUUUUGUUGGACUACUCGACAAAAUAUAAUGAAUUUUCCAACUUUUUGAAAUAAUCACUUUUACUCACUAAUAUUCUUAGUACAGUUGGGAUGUUCCAAUAAAACAACCCAAGACUGAAUCAAUAGUCAUUUUGAAACAAAGAGAGGAAGACUUAUCUAGGAGGUGUAAUAAGUUGAAGCUGACAGGAUAAGUUAUGUAACGCCUGAGUUUCCUCAGUGCUGGGCAAUCUUUUUUUCAAGUAAGCUUUUUAGCCAAGGCAAAUAGAGGUAGAGAUAAACGUGCAGCUGCAUUACAAGGUUGGCGAUACGAUAGUGAAGUGGCGUGAUCAAUGCUUACUCAGUCAAUACUGUAGGUUCACUUAUUGACCCCAUAUUCGUUGGGAACAAACAUUCAGAAAAUAUCUGCGGUUUUUGGGAACAUGUGCAAUUUCCAACAUGAUGGCUGUGUGAGAUAGUGGAAGUUGGUGUAUAUUUAGUCACGGCAGGAGCGUUUCUCAUGCGAAUGAAGAUGCAACGCUCGACAAGACUUGACUUUUGGAGCCGGUGACUGAUUUUUCGGUGGAAGAACAGAGGAAGAGGAACCACGUGACGCUGGCCGUUGAAGGAGGUGAAGAUAGACACUGAAAGAAGUUGAAGAAUAAUAAGAAGAAAGCGGAACAGUCAGCUGUGGCCGCGGCCGGCUGGAGUGGAGAGGCUCAUUACACAGCCGGCGAAUAGGGAUACUGACUGACCCGAUAACCUAGUGAACAGGUCCAACCGAACAAUGAGUCACACCACUAAUUUUCCAUCAUCACAGAUAUAAUAGCUCUGUAAUAAUAAUGGCAGUCAUAAAUUGCUGGUCAGCUCUGCUUCAUCCUACAUUGAAACCGUAUAAACUAGUCAAAUCCAUUUCUGUAAACUAUAAUCAGGAAAGUUGUUUCGUUGGAGGAUUAAUGCAAGUGCGAUAGAUUAAAUUAUUAUAACAAGUG